UCGGGAAUUUUGGGCAAUGGGCGAAAGCCUGACCCAGCAACGCCGCGUGAGGGAUGAAGUAUUUCGGUAUGUAAACCCCGAAAGAAUGGGAAGAAUAAAUGACGGUACCAUUUAUAAGCUCCGGCUAACUACGUGCCAGCAGCCGCGGUAAUACGUAGGGAGCAAGCGUUGUUCGGAUUUACUGGGCGUAAAGGGCGCGUAGGCGGCGCGGUAAGUCACUUGUGAAAUCUCUGAGCUUAACUCAGAACGGCCAAGUGAUACUGCUGUGCUAGAGUGCUGAAGAGGCAACCGGAAUUCUUGGUGUAGCUGUGAAAUGCGUAGAUAUCAAGAGGAACACCUGAGGCGAAGGCGGGUUGCUGGGCCGACACUGACGCUGAUGCGCGAAAGCCAGGGGAGCAAACG
This 402-nucleotide ribosomal RNA is filed under the name uncultured bacterium. RNAcentral's name for it is "bacterial SSU rRNA". It matches the Rfam family "Bacterial small subunit ribosomal RNA", at positions 355 to 774 of the family's 1533-position model. The record is from RNAcentral.